AGAGUUUGAUCCUGGCUCAGAUUGAACGCUGGCGGCAGGCUUAACACAUGCAAGUCGAGCGGUAACAUUUCUAGCUUGCUAGAAGAUGACGAGCGGCGGACGGGUGAGUAAUGCUUGGGAAUAUGCCUUGAAGUGGGGGACAACAGUUGGAAACGACUGCUAAUACCGCAUAAUGUGCUUACUGUAGUGGUAAGUACCAAAGGGGGGGAUUCAUUUAUGAACCUCUCGCUUCUUGAUUAGCCCAAGUGAGAUUAGCUAGUUGGUGAGGUAAAGGCUCACCAAGGCGACGAUCUCUAGCUGGUUUGAGAGGAUGAUCAGCCACACUGGGACUGAGACACGGCCCAGACUCCUACGGGAGGCAGCAGUGGGGAAUAUUGCACAAUGGGCGAAAGCCUGAUGCAGCCAUGCCGCGUGUGUGAAGAAGGCCUUCGGGUUGUAAAGCACUUUCAGUUGUGAGGAAAGGGUGUAGUUUAAUAAACUAUAUCUGUGACGUUAACAACAGAAGAAGCACCGGCUAACUUCGUGCCAGCAGCCGCGGUAAUACGAGGGGUGCAAGCGUUAAUCGGAAUUACUGGGCGUAAAGCGUUCGUAGGCGGUUGAUUAAGCAAGAUGUGAAAGCCCAGGGCUCAACCUUGGAACUGCAUUUUGAACUGGUCAACUAGAGUACUGUAGAGGGUGGUGGAAUUUCCAGUGUAGCGGUGAAAUGCGUAGAGAUUGGAAGGAACAUCAGUGGCGAAGGCGGCCACCUGGAGAGAUACUGACGCUGAGGAACGAAAGCGUGGGGAGCGAACAGGAUUAGAUACCCUGGUAGUCCACGCCGUAAACGAUGUCAACUAGCCGUUUGUGUCCUUGAGACGUGAGUGGCGCAGCUAACGCACUAAGUUGACCGCCUGGGGAGUACGGCCGCAAGGUUAAAACUCAAAUGAAUUGACGGGGGCCCGCACAAGCGGUGGAGCAUGUGGUUUAAUUCGAUGCAACGCGAAG
This 984-nucleotide ribosomal RNA is filed under the name uncultured Gammaproteobacteria bacterium. Its description in RNAcentral is "bacterial SSU rRNA". It matches the Rfam family "Bacterial small subunit ribosomal RNA", at positions 8 to 966 of the family's 1533-position model. Lineage: Bacteria; Pseudomonadati; Pseudomonadota; Gammaproteobacteria. The record is from RNAcentral.